GACGAACGCUGGCGGCGUGCCUAAUACAUGCAAGUCGUGCGGACCUUGUUGAAAGCUUGCUUUUAAAAGGUUAGCGGCGGACGGGUGAGUAACACGUGGGCAACCUGCCUGUAAGACUGGGAUAACGCCGGGAAACCGGGGCUAAUACCAGAUCGUUUUUUCCUCCGCAUGGAGGAAAAAGGAAAGGCGGCUUCGGCUGCCACUUACAGAUGGGCCCGCGGCGCAUUAGCUAGUUGGCGGGGUAAUGGCCCACCAAGGCAACGAUGCGUAGCCGACCUGAGAGGGGGAUCGGCCACAUUUGGAACGGGACACGGCCCAAACUCCUACGGGGGGCAGCAGUAGGGAAUCUUCCGCAAUGGACGAAAGUCUGACGGGGCAACGCCGCGGGAGUGAAGAAGGCCUUCGGGUCGUAAAACUCUGUUGCCGGGGAAGAACAAGUGCCGUUCGAACAGGGCGGCGCCUUGACGGUACCCGGCCAGAAAGCCACGGCUAACUACGUG
This 500-nucleotide ribosomal RNA is filed under the name uncultured bacterium. RNAcentral describes it as "partial 16S ribosomal RNA". It matches the Rfam family "Bacterial small subunit ribosomal RNA", at positions 28 to 507 of the family's 1533-position model. The record is from RNAcentral.